This 506-nucleotide ribosomal RNA is filed under the name uncultured bacterium. RNAcentral's name for it is "partial 16S ribosomal RNA". It matches the Rfam family "Bacterial small subunit ribosomal RNA", at positions 29 to 523 of the family's 1533-position model. The record is from RNAcentral.
AGUGAACGCUGGCGGUAGGCCUAACACAUGCAAGUCGAACGGCAGCACAGGAGAGCUUGCUCUCUGGGUGGCGAGUGGCGGACGGGUGAGGAAUACAUCGGAAUCUACUCUGUCGUGGGGGAUAACGUAGGGAAACUUACGCUAAUACCGCAUACGACCUACGGGUGAAAGCAGGGGACCUUCGGGCCUUGCGCGAUUGAAUGAGCCGAUGUCGGAUUAGCUAGUUGGCGGGGUAAAGGCCCACCAAGGCGACGAUCCGUAGCUUGUCUAAGGGGGUGACCGGCCACACUGGAACUGAGACACGGUCCAGACUCCUACGGGACGCAGCAGUGGGGAAUAUUGGACGAUGGGCGCAAGCCUGAUCCAGCCAUACCGCGUGGGUGAAGAAGGCCUUCGGGUUGUAAAGCCCUUUUGUUGGGAAAGAAAUCCAGCUGGCUAAUACCCGGUUGGGAUGACGGUACCCAAAGAAUAAGCACCGGCUAACUUCGUGCCAGCCGCCGCGGUAA